ACUCAGCAGCUCACCAUACGUACGUACAGACCAAACGCGACUUCCGCGAGCGACACGACUGAUUUGCAUAGAAAGUCAAUGGGGUUGGGCGACUGACGGCGACCAGCGGCGACCAACAUGGCAGCGACACGACUGGGGUGUGCAACGCUACAAGAUUUGAGCUACAUACGGCGACUCCGGCUACUCAAGACGACACAACUGGGGUACAGCGACAGUCGCAGAAGUUCACCACCUGCGGAGCGUUGACCAAUCAGAGACCAGAUCCGCGAGUGACGUGUCCCGGCGGAGGAGAAGCAAAUCGCUGCGGUUGUUUACAAGCAGACUUUCCGCCGUCCUGAGAGUGGCUCAAAUCGUGCAUUUUUUAAUUUCCACCGGAACAUAAAUAGGAAGAAUCUUGUCCGGAGGGAAAGUUCGCCACAACGGUGGCGUUCCUGAUGAGACGUCCUGAAGGGUCUGUUUAUAUGAGGGGAGGACGGUGACCGAGGAGCGGAGUGGUCAGCGGCAUCUACUGUAGUGCCGUGAAGUGACCGUUCUUCACCGUCCUCUCUCUUCUGGAGCCCUUCAUCUCCAAGAGAGACCUCGGCCAACAUGACUGGAGAGGCAGCAGCAGCUGCAGCAAGGUAGCAGGAGAGGAGGAGGAUGGAUCCACUCAUGAUGUUGGUGAUGAUGAUGAGGAGGAGGAUGGACCUUCCUCUGCCUCACCUGGUGCUGCUGCGUCUCCUCCACCUGCCACUGUCCCCUCCUCAUCCACUGCUGCUCCUGAUGACACUGAAGGAAGAGAGCUACAGAGGAAGGGGUCCCCCGAUGCUGAAGCUGAGCUCAAACAUCUACUAAUGUACUCCCUCCACACACCCAGCUCAGAAGAAGGGACAGUUUUCAAGGUCCUCGUUCCUUCCAGGUUCCACAUAAAUUUAAAAUGUACAUGUUACUUUACCAAGCAAAACAACAGCUGACUGAAAUCAUUUGGACCCUUCAUUUAUUUUCUUUGUAGCCACAGUUUCAUUAAGGAACCGGAUGCCGCCCCACUUCCUCCGCCUCUCUUGACCCUCGUCCCUCUGAGGAAGAUCCUUCAAAACACACCUACGUAGUUCACUUCAAGUUUGACUGUGAUUCUGUGUGUAUUGAAUGAGUAUAAAUGAAUGGGGUUACUUUAUUUUUGCAAAUAAAGUGUUUGACA
Molecule: long non-coding RNA, 1177 nt
Organism: Synchiropus splendidus (mandarinfish)
Lineage: Eukaryota; Metazoa; Chordata; Actinopteri; Syngnathiformes; Callionymidae
Exons: 4
Source: RefSeq, a predicted model, not a curated record